Lemur catta (Ring-tailed lemur) is the source of this 105-nucleotide small nuclear RNA. NCBI's taxonomy places the organism in Eukaryota, Metazoa, Chordata, Mammalia, Primates, Lemuridae. The record is from RefSeq and is a predicted model, not a curated record.
GUGCUCACUUAGGCAGCACAUAUACUAAAAUUGGAAUGAUAUGGAGGUUAGCAUGGACCUCUGCACAAGGAUGACAUGCAAAUCUGUGACGUGUUCCUUAUUUUU